Molecule: small nuclear RNA, 24 nt
Filed under: Arabidopsis thaliana (thale cress)
Lineage: Eukaryota; Viridiplantae; Streptophyta; Magnoliopsida; Brassicales; Brassicaceae
Description: snRNA_14557
Source: RNAcentral
GAUUGUGUUUCCGAAAUAAGAAUU